Molecule: long non-coding RNA, 672 nt
Organism: Heteronotia binoei (common prickly gecko)
Lineage: Eukaryota; Metazoa; Chordata; Lepidosauria; Squamata; Gekkonidae
Exons: 3
Source: RefSeq, a predicted model, not a curated record
AGCUUUAAGAAGGUUCGGGUGGUGGCAGCAGUUUGCCUUCAGCCGCCUUAGAGCAUUAUGCCUAUUUGGAAUCCUCCUGGAGAAGUUACAUUCCCACACUAUCUUAAAAAACAGACCUGCAGGGCCCAGAUCUCUCUUGGGAGAAUGUUCCAUUAGGCUGGCACCAGAACUGAGAAGGGCCCUUCUGUUGGUGCCAACUUGCAUAUGGAGUGGACCAAGCCAACAACUGCCUGUCUAUGUGCAUUCUCUGUGACAGUCCCCACCUUCUGGAGCUGCCUGCCUGGAGAGGUUCAGAAGGCGCCCACUCUCCUGACUUUCUGCAAAUGAUGCAAAAUGGAAUGAUUCAAGAGGACUUUUUCGAUGCAAGCAACAGUGUUAAACUGUACUAAAGUUAAUAGGAUAAAUAGACUCUGGUCUGUACUCCUGUGUGUGCUUGUUGAAAUUAGGAUCCUGCUAUGGAAUUUUGCAUCAUUUAAAUGUGUCAUGUUAUGCUUUGCUUCAGUUCUUUUUUUUAGACUUCUGGUUCUAAAGCCCUAAUCCUAUUGUGUUGUUUACUGAAUGUCCCUUCCUUUUGAUUGUCUUAACUUGCUCUGUGUGAUCCAUCUUAAUUCCAAGUGAGAAAGGUGAACUACAAAUAAUGUAAAAUAAAUACAAUUAAUACAAAUUUUAAAA